RNAcentral lists this small RNA (134 nucleotides) under Desulfosporosinus meridiei. Its description in RNAcentral is "c-di-AMP sequence". It matches the Rfam family "c-di-AMP riboswitch aptamer (ydaO/yuaA leader)". Rfam says of the family: This family represents a conserved RNA structure found upstream of the ydaO and yuaA genes in Bacillus subtilis and related genes in other bacteria. Lineage: Bacteria; Bacillati; Bacillota; Clostridia; Eubacteriales; Desulfitobacteriaceae. The record is from RNAcentral.
AAAGUAUGAAGGCUUAAUCUAGUCACCUAGAGCGGGGGAUUUUUUUUUGGGGUGAAACGCAUACCAAAUGCGUAGGGCUUACACCUUAUGCCCGAAUCCGUCAGCUAACCUCGUAAGCCGAGAAAGGUGAAAAC